This 571-nucleotide long non-coding RNA is filed under the name Marmota monax (woodchuck). The record is from RNAcentral. Lineage: Eukaryota; Metazoa; Chordata; Mammalia; Rodentia; Sciuridae.
ACCGGGACGUAGCUCAGUGAUAGAGCACUUACCUAGCAUACGUGAGGCCCUGUUCCGUCCCCAGCACCACACACACACAAAAAGAAUAUAUAUUAUUUUUAACUUAAAAAAUACAUCCACCAGCACCCGUCCCCAAAAUACAGCCACCACUUGUUGUGGUUUGGAUGCGAGGUGUCCCCCAAAAGCUCAUAUGUGAGACAGUGCAAGAAGGUUCAGAGGAGAAACGGUUGGGUUGUGAGAGUCUUAACCCAAGCAGUGAUUGAACCCCCUGGCAGGGAUUAACUGAGGGGUACGUGAAGUGAGGAGUGGCUGGAGAAGGUGAGGAUUGGGGUAUGGCUGGAGGACGAGGAGAAUUGGGGCGAGGCUGGAGGAGGGGGCAUUGGGGCAUGAAUUGGGGUAUAUAUUUGUAUCUGGCGAGUGGCAUCUCUGCUUCCCGAUUGCUGUGGUGUGAGCUGCACCCCUGUGCCACACUCUCCCGCCGUGAUGUUCAGCCUCACCUCAAGCCCUGAGCAAGCACCUGGCCUUCUAUGGACUAAGACCUCUGAAACCAUGAGCCCUCAGAUAAACUCUU